RNAcentral lists this ribosomal RNA (2588 nucleotides) under Staphylococcus aureus. Its description in RNAcentral is "partial 23S ribosomal RNA". It matches the Rfam family "Bacterial large subunit ribosomal RNA", at positions 310 to 2904 of the family's 2925-position model. The record is from RNAcentral. Lineage: Bacteria; Bacillati; Bacillota; Bacilli; Caryophanales; Staphylococcaceae.
GGAGUUACAAAGGACGACAUUAGACGAAUCAUCUGGAAAGAUGAAUCAAAGAAGGUAAUAAUCCUGUAGUCGAAAAUGUUGUCUCUCUUGAGUGGAUCCUGAGUACGACGGAGCACGUGAAAUUCCGUCGGAAUCUGGGAGGACCAUCUCCUAAGGCUAAAUACUCUCUAGUGACCGAUAGUGAACCAGUACCGUGAGGGAAAGGUGAAAAGCACCCCGGAAGGGGAGUGAAAUAGAACCUGAAACCGUGUGCUUACAAGUAGUCAGAGCCCGUUAAUGGGUGAUGGCGUGCCUUUUGUAGAAUGAACCGGCGAGUUACGAUUUGAUGCAAGGUUAAGCAGUAAAUGUGGAGCCGUAGCGAAAGCGAGUCUGAAUAGGGCGUUUAGUAUUUGGUCGUAGACCCGAAACCAGGUGAUCUACCCUUGGUCAGGUUGAAGUUCAGGUAACACUGAAUGGAGGACCGAACCGACUUACGUUGAAAAGUGAGCGGAUGAACUGAGGGUAGCGGAGAAAUUCCAAUCGAACCUGGAGAUAGCUGGUUCUCUCCGAAAUAGCUUUAGGGCUAGCCUCAAGUGAUGAUUAUUGGAGGUAGAGCACUGUUUGGACGAGGGGCCCCUCUCGGGUUACCGAAUUCAGACAAACUCCGAAUGCCAAUUAAUUUAACUUGGGAGUCAGAACAUGGGUGAUAAGGUCCGUGUUCGAAAGGGAAACAGCCCAGACCACCAGCUAAGGUCCCAAAAUAUAUGUUAAGUGGAAAAGGAUGUGGCGUUGCCCAGACAACUAGGAUGUUGGCUUAGAAGCAGCCAUCAUUUAAAGAGUGCGUAAUAGCUCACUAGUCGAGUGACACUGCGCCGAAAAUGUACCGGGGCUAAACAUAUUACCGAAGCUGUGGAUUGUCCUUUGGACAAUGGUAGGAGAGCGUUCUAAGGGCGUUGAAGCAUGAUCGUAAGGACAUGUGGAGCGCUUAGAAGUGAGAAUGCCGGUGUGAGUAGCGAAAGACGGGUGAGAAUCCCGUCCACCGAUUGACUAAGGUUUCCAGAGGAAGGCUCGUCCGCUCUGGGUUAGUCGGGUCCUAAGCUGAGGCCGACAGGCGUAGGCGAUGGAUAACAGGUUGAUAUUCCUGUACCACCUAUAAUCGUUUUAAUCGAUGGGGGGACGCAGUAGGAUAGGCGAAGCGUGCGAUUGGAUUGCACGUCUAAGCAGUAAGGCUGAGUAUUAGGCAAAUCCGGUACUCAUUAAGGCUGAGCUGUGAUGGGGAGAAGACAUUGUGUCUUCGAGUCGUUGAUUUCACACUGCCGAGAAAAGCCUCUAGAUAGAAAAUAGGUGCCCGUACCGCAAACCGACACAGGUAGUCAAGAUGAGAAUUCUAAGGUGAGCGAGCGAACUCUCGUUAAGGAACUCGGCAAAAUGACCCCGUAACUUCGGGAGAAGGGGUGCUCUUUAGGGUUAACGCCCAGAAGAGCCGCAGUGAAUAGGCCCAAGCGACUGUUUAUCAAAAACACAGGUCUCUGCUAAACCGUAAGGUGAUGUAUAGGGGCUGACGCCUGCCCGGUGCUGGAAGGUUAAGAGGAGUGGUUAGCUUCUGCGAAGCUACGAAUCGAAGCCCCAGUAAACGGCGGCCGUAACUAUAACGGUCCUAAGGUAGCGAAAUUCCUUGUCGGGUAAGUUCCGACCCGCACGAAAGGCGUAACGAUUUGGGCACUGUCUCAACGAGAGACUCGGUGAAAUCAUAGUACCUGUGAAGAUGCAGGUUACCCGCGACAGGACGGAAAGACCCCGUGGAGCUUUACUGUAGCCUGAUAUUGAAAUUCGGCACAGCUUGUACAGGAUAGGUAGGAGCCUUUGAAACGUGAGCGCUAGCUUACGUGGAGGCGCUGGUGGGAUACUACCCUAGCUGUGUUGGCUUUCUAACCCGCACCACUUAUCGUGGUGGGAGACAGUGUCAGGCGGGCAGUUUGACUGGGGCGGUCGCCUCCUAAAAGGUAACGGAGGCGCUCAAAGGUUCCCUCAGAAUGGUUGGAAAUCAUUCAUAGAGUGUAAAGGCAUAAGGGAGCUUGACUGCGAGACCUACAAGUCGAGCAGGGUCGAAAGACGGACUUAGUGAUCCGGUGGUUCCGCAUGGAAGGGCCAUCGCUCAACGGAUAAAAGCUACCCCGGGGAUAACAGGCUUAUCUCCCCCAAGAGUUCACAUCGACGGGGAGGUUUGGCACCUCGAUGUCGGCUCAUCGCAUCCUGGGGCUGUAGUCGGUCCCAAGGGUUGGGCUGUUCGCCCAUUAAAGCGGUACGCGAGCUGGGUUCAGAACGUCGUGAGACAGUUCGGUCCCUAUCCGUCGUGGGCGUAGGAAAUUUGAGAGGAGCUGUCCUUAGUACGAGAGGACCGGGAUGGACAUACCUCUGGUGUACCAGUUGUCGUGCCAACGGCAUAGCUGGGUAGCUAUGUGUGGACGGGAUAAGUGCUGAAAGCAUCUAAGCAUGAAGCCCCCCUCAAGAUGAGAUUUCCCAACUUCGGUUAUAAGAUCCCUCAAAGAUGAUGAGGUUAAUAGGUUCGAGGUGGAAGCAUGGUGACAUGUGGAGCUGACGAAUACUAA